CCUACGGGAGGCUGCAGUGAGGAAUAUUGGUCAAUGGACGCAAGUCUGAACCAGCCAUGCCGCGUGCAGGAAGACGGCUCUAUGAGUUGUAAACUGCUUUUGUACGAGGGUAAACGCAGAUACGCGUAUCUGUCUGAAAGUAUCUUACGAAUAAGGAUCGGCUAACUCCGUGCCAGCAGCCGCGGUAAUACGGAGGAUUCAAGCGUUAUCCGGAUUUAUUGGGUUUAAAGGGUGCGUAGGCGGUCGGAUAAGUUAGAGGUGAAAUCCCGAGGCUCAACUUCGGAAUGGCCUCUGAUACUGUCAGGCUAGAGAGUAGUUGCGGUAGGCGGAAUGUACGGUGUAGCGGUGAAAUGCUUAGAGAUCAUACAGAACACCGAUUGCGAAGGCAGCUUACCAAGCUACGUCAGACGUUGAGGCACGAAAGCGUGGGGAGCAAACAGGAUUAGAUACCCGAGUAGUC
This 460-nucleotide ribosomal RNA is filed under the name uncultured bacterium. Its description in RNAcentral is "partial 16S ribosomal RNA". It matches the Rfam family "Bacterial small subunit ribosomal RNA", at positions 338 to 795 of the family's 1533-position model. The record is from RNAcentral.